Molecule: long non-coding RNA, 5692 nt
Filed under: Prunus persica (peach)
Lineage: Eukaryota; Viridiplantae; Streptophyta; Magnoliopsida; Rosales; Rosaceae
Description: long non-coding RNA (PPER_LNC000372)
Source: RNAcentral
CUUCGUUGCCAAGGGCAUAGGAUUUGAGAACACAGCGGGAGCCGCAAAGCACCAGGCCGUGGCACUGCGUGUGCAAUCAGACUUUUCCAUCUUCUACAACUGCUACAUUGAUGCGUACCAAGACACCCUCUACACCCAAACCUACCGGCAAUACUACCGUGACUGCACCAUCUCCGGGACAGUGGACUUCAUCUUCGGAGAUGGUGUGGCGAUGUUCCAAAACUGCAGGAUGGUGGUUAGAAAGCCAGGGGAUUCACAGUCUUGCAUGGUCACGGCCCAAGGCAGGACCGACAAGAAUGAGAUCACAGCCAUUGUCCUCCAAAACUGCACCAUCACUGGUGAGCCAGACUACAUGGCUGUAAAGGACAAAAACAAGGCCUACUUGGGGAGGCCAUGGAAGGGCUUUGCAAGGGUGGUGGUGAUACAGUCGCAGAUUGACAAUGCGAUUGCGCCCGAAGGAUGGACAGAAUGGACUGGUGAGAAAUUUCACACUAGUUGCUUUGUGGCUGAGUCCGGCAACAGGGGUGCUGGGGCUGACAUGUCCAAGAGGGUCAAAUGGCAAACCCUAAUGAAGCUUACUCCAGAACAAGCUGCGGCUUUCACCCCUGCGAGGUUGUUUGAGGGUGAUAAAUGGGUCAAACCCAGUGGGGUUCCUUAUGUUUCUGGCAUGAUGUCUGUGUAGAUCCCCAGAUGAAAAAUCUUACAACACCAAUUCUUUUCUUAGGAAAAGAAAAACAAUUUUACUUCACAGCUUGAUUCUGUGUCUUGUGAAGUUGUGAUCUUGUGGGAUGCCUUCCCUUUGUUUAUGAAUAUGAAUAUAUAUAUCACACAUUUUUGUUAAGCUAGUUGUACCCAUUAACAAUUUUGUUUAGACAUUUUUGUGAAUUUGAACUGCUACGUACAUACGGAUGAGAGGGACGUACCCACUAGCAGCCCAGGUAACUUUUUUUUUUUUUUUUAAAAGUUAAAUUAAUACUCUAGCCUAGGUCAGAUUACACACAAACAAAAAAAGGAAAAAAAAAGAAAAGAAAAAUAUUGGUUCUUUGCCAUCAAUCAGUGGCUGUAAAUGGCAACCAAUUUUAUCAUAAUUACUUUCAAUUUCAAACAAACCUUCAUCCAAAUAAGUAUUAUUAACUAUUCCCAUUAGGACUAGGCUAUACAAAUAAAAUAUUAUUAACUAAUCCAAGUAGAAUUAGGCUAACCAACAAAAGAACUAAACCCCACAUCCCACGUGAAAAAAUUAGACUCCCACUAGGCAUAGACAUUCCCCCUCUCCUUUACCCAAAAAAAAACAAAAAGAAUCAAUAAUUAGUGAUUUUAAUAGGUUUUUGUUAUCAAUGAAAUUUACUCGUACCAUUUAGUUUUCAAUAUGUUUGUACGUAAGCUAAAUUUAGCCCACGCCAUUCUGAAAUCUUGGGUCCGUCAAACUCCUAUGCUCUUGAGGUUUAAAGUUAGCCCAUUUGUUGUCUCAGGUCACUGGAGAUGGUUAUUUCCUUAUCUGCCGCUCAGCUAUCUCUUGACUCGAAGAGCUCCCAAAGUUUCUUAAAAAUGUUCUAUUUGAGAACUGUAACAAGUAGUUUUUUGGGAUAUAAGCCCAUCUUUUAUACUUGUCUCAUUUUCUCUAAUAAAGAAAAUCAUAUUGCCUUCUCUCAACAAAAAACAAAAAAAAAAAAAAAAAAUUUGCCCUUUUAAACAAUCAUUAGAACGCAACCUAAGGGUUAAAUAUGAUUUCUGGAUAUUAGCUGGGAUGCUUCAUAUUGACCGAGAUUCUUACGUUUUCUUGUGGCAAUAAUUCCUCACGUAUUUCUGCCCCACAUCCAAAAGAUAACUCAUCAAAUUUGUUAGUUACGUCUGACUUGUGUAAACUAACAAAAUAACACAACUUUCUAAUUUCAAAGUUAGGUGCAGAAAUCAAAUAAAAGAAGGAAAAUAUAUAAAACUUUAUCUAUAUAUGUAUCAUCUGAUUGAGACAAACAUAAAAUGCAUUUGUCCUACUGAGAGGCGAUUUGUAAGUAAUUUAUUAAAUAGUAAUACCAUGGUCGCACAUACAAUUUACAAACAUUCAUGAUUACCUUUGCAAACUAGAGACGCCUUCUCCUUUCUUGAGGGUUAUAGCUGUUGGCAACGAUAUUAUCCAUUGGUAAUGGCAAAAUUUGGUAUAGUGCUAUUAUAAGCUCUUGUCAAGUUUUGUAUGUAAAUUUUUGCCUAUUUGAAUUUGAAAUUCUGAAUCCGUCACUGCUAUAGACCAAUAUGACCAUACUUAGAUCUACAUUGGCACGAUAUUAUUCUAUGGAAGCAGGCGGGCAUUUUUCUCGUAAGCAAGCAUCAUAUGUAUAGUUCUAUAUGUUUAUGAAAAUGAAUUGAUUGGAAAGCUAGUUGGAUUGCCUUUAUAUAUUUAAAGCAUUAGUUUUAUAAAUAAACACUGAUGCUAAAGUUCCUUCCGUGUGUCAAAAAAACGUUGAUUCUGAAUGCCUAAAUCUACAACGGUAUCGGCAGUUUUAAUAGUUCCAAUGCUAAAUACGGUUUGUAGCAUUAAAAUUUUAUAUUACACUGAUGUAUUUUUCGACUUACAACAUCACAAAAACCAAUAGAGCUUAUGGUACUUCUAGUUAUAGGCAUCAGUUAUCUUAUGAGUGAUGUUGUUUUAAAUUUUGAACUUUACUUGUUUAUGAAAAAUUAAAGUUGUUAUGAACAAUAUCAUGGUGUGUUGUCUAUUGUACAUCAAAAAGCAUAUAUAAAUAUAUCCAGCAGUUUCAUAAAUCACAAUUUUUCCAACCCCACAUAUCACAACAUUUUUUGCAAUUUACAUAUAACAACAUAUUUCUUAAUUUAUCAACCUUGAAUUUGAGUACAAAAGAGAAAUAUAGUAUAACAAACCAAAUAAAUAUAAAUUAAAAUAAGUAUCCCUUUAUUAAAAUUAUCAUAAUCAAUUCCAACCAAAUACAAGAGGGAGUCUGAAAAUAUUUGCGAGGGAGCGUGGAAAAUAUUAUUUGGGAAUUAGGACUGCAGUAAAGAAACCAGAUAGAAAAGGUAUGACAUGAAAAAUUGUGAAAGUAUGUUGAAUUUGUAUCAUGUGGGGACCUGAGAAGCUUUUUGGGAGCUGAAGCUCAUACCAACUUUGCCUACCUUGCCUACCUAGUGCCUACCUUACAUAUGCGUAUUAUUUUUUUGGGAAAAUUUUUGGGUAGACAACUGCCUAACUUGCUCAUGGCUUAGGACCGCCACCUUAGUCCCCUGUGAAGUCUGCUUCAGAAUUCGGGAAUGUAGCAAGCCAACUGUCAUUAACCAACAGUAUGUCAAGCUUCCUGGCAAUAAUCUGCUCUCACUAUCUUUGCGGUUGGACCAAGUAUAGCGUCACCUACUAAUGUCCUAGAUAACGAGCGAACCUUAGAGCUCAUGAAGGUGUUUAUAGCACCACGCAACCUCGGGAAGUUUUGCGUAUCAACUCAUGUAUGCGAAUAACAUACAAAACGCAUACCUUUAUUAGAAAGAUAGUAUACAAUGUGGUAUAUAAAUAUGAUAAAUUUAACAUUAUCGAAUAAUCUAAGUAUAGAAUUAUUUAAAAUAAUAUAAAUAAAAUAAAAAAUAUUAGUUGGAAAUGGUUAAGUAAUUAGAAAAUGUGAUUCGAUAGAAUAUCCCAAACUUACCCUUUGACUAGCUAAUUAAUAAAGUAGAGCUAAAUAUAAACAUUCUAGCCAUGCACUGAUAGUCCAUGAUUAAAGGGAGCCACUGUUACGCACUACCUCUGUAGAAGUAAAUGGGAGAGUAAACCCAGUGCGUGGGUGGACAAAUGCAAACUUGGCUUACAUGUAACAUGUUCAAAUUUGGAUCAUAUCCAAAUUUAGAAAACAUAUUACCACCUCUAUUUUGUCUUGACUCAACAUUCGUCAUCUCCCACCUUAACAUGUUCUAACGGAAUUAACUGUCAUUCAGAAAUUUUUGGAUGGUGUGUUCCCUAUAAAUUUCAUGCCUUUUCCCCAUACCAAAUCAGAACAGAGCUGUGGGGGCAUCCGAGUCCUUCUUCCAAUAAGCGAAGCCCCAACAGCGCUCUGCAGCUCACCGGAAAAGGGAAAAAAUUAUAAAAAAAGAAAGAAAAACACGAACACAAUCCCAGUUUUGAUUACUUCUUUCUUCUCCAAUUAAUUCUUUUUCUUUCUCGAAACACAAGUGCGUAUUAAUUUAGCUUAAAUCAUCGAAGAUGGAUGCCAAGAAGAAGAAGAUGAUCAUCAUCGGUGUGGUUGUUUUGCUUGUAGUGGUGAUUGCAGUGGGAGUGACGGUAGGUAUCAUGAAAUCUAAAGCCAAAAAACUCGCCAAAUCCGCAGCCAAGCCCGCCAAGUCGAAAAAGGCCAUUGAGGCGAUUUGCCAGCCGACCAGCUACAAAGAAACCUGCCAGAGCAGCCUCGAGAAGGUGGCCGGUGACACCACCGACCCUAAAGAGCUGGUCAAGGCCGGGUUCCAGGUGGCAGCGGACAAGGUGAACGAGGUGAUCCAGAACUCGGACACCUUGAAAGAUCUGGCAAAGGAUCCCAUGGCUAGCCAGGCUCUGGACGUCUGCAAGGAAAUGUUGAACACCGCCGUUGAGGAUCUCCUCGGCGCUGUCGAUAAGAUGGGGCCUUUCGAGAUUAGCAAGGUCGAUGAUUAUCUGGAAGAUCUGAAAGUGUGGCUGAGCGCGGCCGUCAAUCACCAGGCGACUUGCGUAGAUGCGUUUAAGGACACCAAGGGUGAGGCUGGGGACAAAAUGAAGGGCUUUUUGAAGACAGCACAAGAACUCACGAGUAAUGGGCUUGCCAUGGUCACCCAAAUCUCCUCCCUCUUGGGAUCUCUCAACUUAAACUCUCACCGUAGACUCCUCUCUGCGCAUAGCAAGAGGAACUACCAGGCAGUGCCUUCAUGGAUGGGUGCCCGCCAGCUGCAGCUCUUGACUGCCACCCCACAGAGCCUAAAGCCCAACGUGGUUGUGGCUCAGGAUGGGAGUGGCAAGUACAAGACCAUCAAGGAGGCUUUGAAGGAGGUCCCAACGAAGAGCAAUGAGACCUUUGUGAUCUACAUUAAGGAGGGAGUUUACAAAGAGGAAAUCAUCAUUGAUAGGCAGAUGACCAAUGUCUUCAUGAUUGGUGAUGGCCCUACCAAGACAAAGAUCUCCGGUAGCAAAAACAAGGCAGAUGGCACCGCAACUAUGCAUACUGCAACAUUCGGUACGUAACACGCACUUAAUAACUAACAUGACUAUUCAUCAAAUAUUAAUCAACCAUGACACAUCAAUUGGUGAAUAAAAUUAGUAAACACAUUUGAUGCCCUAGCUAGCAGUAUUCAUUGAUUAAUUAAUUGUUCUUGGUAGUUGAUUUAUAUCCUAAUUCUAACUCAUUUUCUUGUUUAUUGCGUCCUUGCAGCCGCAGUUGGAGACUAUUUCGUUGCCAAGGACAUAAGAUUUGAGAACACAGCAGGGCACAUCAAGCACCAGGCCGUGGCACUGCGUGUGCAAUCUGACUUUUCCAUCUUCUAUAACUGCCAUAUGGACGCGUACCAAGACACCCUCUACACCCAAACCUACCGGCAAUACUACCGGGACUGCACCAUCACCGGGACCGUAGACUUCAUCUUCGGGGAUGGCGUGGCGCUGUUCCAAAACUGCAAGAUGCUGGUGAGAAAGCCAGGGGAUUCACAGUCUUGCAUGGUGACAGCCCAAGGCAGG